ACGGACGUCUCCNUNNGGGGGGACUGCGGAGGGAUCAUUACACAAAUAUGAAGGCGGGCUGGAACCUCUCGGGGUUACAGCCUUGCUGAAUUAUUCACCCUUGUCUUUUGCGUACUUCUUGUUUCCUUGGUGGGUUCGCCCACCACUAGGACAAACAUAAACCUUUUGUAAUUGCAAUCAGCGUCAGUAACAAAUUAAUAAUUACAACUUUCAACAACGGAUCUCUUGGUUCUGGCAUCGAUGAAGAACGCAGCGAAAUGCGAUAAGUAGUGUGAAUUGCAGAAUUCAGUGAAUCAUCGAAUCUUUGAACGCACAUUGCGCCCUUUGGUAUUCCAAAGGGCAUGCCUGUUCGAGCGUCAUUUGUACCCUCAAGCUUUGCUUGGUGUUGGGCGUCUUGUCUCUAGCUUUGCUGGAGACUCGCCUUAAAGUAAUUGGCAGCCGGCCUACUGGUUUCGGAGCGCAGCACAAGUCGCACUCUCUAUCAGCAAAGGUCUAGCAUCCAUUAAGCCUUUUUUUCAACUUUUGACCUCGGAUCAGGUAGGGAUACCCGCUGAACUUAAGCAUAUCAUAANUCGGAANGGAAGUCCGUA
RNAcentral lists this ribosomal RNA (590 nucleotides) under Alternaria brassicae. RNAcentral describes it as "eukaryotic LSU rRNA". The stretch from base 206 to 359 matches the Rfam family "5.8S ribosomal RNA". The record is from RNAcentral. Lineage: Eukaryota; Fungi; Ascomycota; Dothideomycetes; Pleosporales; Pleosporaceae.